AGUGAACGCUGGCGGUAGGCCUAACACACGCAAGUCGAACGGCAGCACAGUAAGAGCUUGCUCUUACGGGUGCGAGUGGCGGACGGGUGAGGAAUACAUCGGAAUCUACUUUUUCGUGGGGGAUAACGUAGGGAAACUUACGCUAAUACCGCAUACGACCUACGGGUGAAAGCAGGGGAUCUUCGGACCUUGCGCGAUUGAAUGAGCCGAUGUCGGAUUAGCUAGUUGGCGGGGUAAAGGCCCACCAAGGCGACGAUCCGUAGCUGGUCUGAGAGGAUGAUCAGCCACACUGGAACUGAGACACGGUCCAGACUCCUACGGGAGGCAGCAGUGGGGAACAUUGGACAAUGGGCGCAAGCCUGAUCCAGCCAUACCGCGUGGGUGAAGAAGGCCUUCGGGUUGUAAAGCCCUUUUGUUGGGAAAGAAAAGCAGCAGGUUAAUACCCCGCUGUUCUGACGGUACCCAAAGAAUAAGCACCGGCUAACUUCGUG
RNAcentral lists this ribosomal RNA (491 nucleotides) under uncultured bacterium. RNAcentral's name for it is "partial 16S ribosomal RNA". It matches the Rfam family "Bacterial small subunit ribosomal RNA", at positions 29 to 507 of the family's 1533-position model. The record is from RNAcentral.